UACGUAGGGUCCGAGCGUUGUCCGGAAUUACUGGGCGUAAAGAGCUCGUAGGUGGUUUGUCGCGUUGUUCGUGAAAACUCACAGCUUAACUGUGGGCGUGCGGUCGAUACGGGCAUCACUUGAGUUCGGCAGGGGAGACUGGAAUUCCUGGUGUAGCGGUGAAAUGCGCAGAUAUCAGGAGGAACACCGGUGGCGAAGGCGGGUCUCUGGGCCGAUACUGACGUGAGGAGCGAAAGCAUGGGUAGCGAACAGG
RNAcentral lists this ribosomal RNA (253 nucleotides) under uncultured bacterium. RNAcentral describes it as "partial 16S ribosomal RNA". It matches the Rfam family "Bacterial small subunit ribosomal RNA", at positions 524 to 776 of the family's 1533-position model. The record is from RNAcentral.